RNAcentral lists this unclassified non-coding RNA (898 nucleotides) under Cimex lectularius (bed bug). RNAcentral describes it as "uncharacterized LOC106669527, transcript variant X1". The record is from RNAcentral. Lineage: Eukaryota; Metazoa; Arthropoda; Insecta; Hemiptera; Cimicidae.
UUUAAAAUCUAAGCUGAAAUAAUUUAAUUUAUGGCUUUUCUAAUUGCGAGAACAAAAUGGAUUUUAGAUGGUUGUUUAAUGGGGUUGUGAUGUUUUAAAAUGCCCUUGAUCAUCACAGGAUUCAACAGUCCACUUCUAUUUACUUUCGGCUGGGCAUCAUCAGUGAACAUUUUAUAUGGGAAAAAAGUCAACUGAAGGUUCUUCCCUAACAAAUAUUCAAUUGAUAUGGAUCUACACUGGACUAGCCUGACGAACGUGCACUGAGAGCAGUAAUGUCAACAUUACACUGAAAUCAUGAGGUGAGGUUGAAGAUGGGAGGGACUGCAAAGCAGAAAAAGCUCGAACGUGAGCACUGUGAGAAUCAGCCGGCUCCGAAGCAGCACUACGGGAAUGUAGUCGGCGGGAUUGAUGAUGACAUGCAUCCGAACAGUAAGUUUAUCACGGUUUGAGUUUUCUUUUGUUUAGUUCUGUCUCUUUUAGCCAUCGAUGAUGACAGAUAUCCUCGCAAACAUCACUGAUUUACUGGACAAGUUAGUCAAGUGUAGCUAUAGCCCCAACUUUUUUUUUCACCGUCCCAUCCUUUCGAUCUUCCAAACCGUCUGAAACGACAAUGGCCUUGUGACCUCCUUCCUUAACCGUGGCCUCUAACUAAAUAAAAGAUAGCUCCAGCACUGGUUGGCUCCCCACUUUCUGACAAAUCUGACAAAUUUGUAUGUACUUAUCAACAUACAUCCAUAGCAAAAAGUUUUUAAGGUUAAAUUUGCCCCAAAAUAUUAUGACAGCAGUACAAAAGAUAGCAGUACUAAAUCGUCAAAUGACCUCUCUUUUCUGUAUCAUUCCAAAUUUUUCCGUUCUAUGAACUGAUUUAUUGUUCCUAAAAUCAUAAAAUUCACGCUAA